UACGUAUGGUGCAAGCGUUAUCCGGAUUUACUGGGUGUAAAGGGAGCGCAGGCGGCACGGCAAGCCUGAUGUGAAAGCCCGCGGCCCAACCGCGGGACUGCAUUGGGAACUACCGGGCUGGGGUGCCGGAGAGGUAGGCGGAAUUCCUAGUGUAGCGGUGAAAUGCGUAGAUAUUAGGAGGAACACCAGUGGCGAAGGCGGCCUACUGGACGGUGACUGACGCUGAGGCUCGAAAGCGUGGGCAUCGAACAGG
This 253-nucleotide ribosomal RNA is filed under the name uncultured bacterium. RNAcentral describes it as "partial 16S ribosomal RNA". It matches the Rfam family "Bacterial small subunit ribosomal RNA", at positions 524 to 776 of the family's 1533-position model. The record is from RNAcentral.